ACGCUCGACACCUACGGGAAGCAGCAGUGGGGAAUAUUGCACAAUGGGGGGAACCCUGAUGCAGCGACGCCGCGUGAGGGAAGAAGGUUUUCGGAUUGUAAACCUCUGUCUUUGGUGACGAUAAUGACGGUAGCCAAAGAGGAAGCUACGGCUAACUACGUGCCAACAGCCGCGGUAAUCUGAGCGGGCUGGCAAGGC
This 198-nucleotide ribosomal RNA is filed under the name uncultured bacterium. Its description in RNAcentral is "partial 16S ribosomal RNA". It matches the Rfam family "Bacterial small subunit ribosomal RNA", at positions 326 to 539 of the family's 1533-position model. The record is from RNAcentral.